AUUGAACGCUGGCGGCAUGCCUUACACAUGCAAGUCGAACGGCAGCACGGGUGCUUGCACCUGGUGGCGAGUGGCGAACGGGUGAGUAAUACAUCGGAACAUGUCCUGUAGUGGGGGAUAGCCCGGCGAAAGCCGGAUUAAUACCGCAUACGAUCUACGGAUGAAAGCGGGGGACCUUCGGGCCUCGCGCUAUAGGGUUGGCCGAUGGCUGAUUAGCUAGUUGGUGGGGUAAAGGCCUACCAAGGCGACGAUCAGUAGCUGGUCUGAGAGGACGACCAGCCCGCACUGGGGCGGAGACACGGCCCAAACCCCCAGGGGGGGGAGCAGUGGGGAAUUUUGGGAAAGGGGGGAAAGCCUAUCCCGCAAAGCCGGGGUGGGUGAAAAGGGCCUUGGGGUUUUAAAACCUUUUUUCCCGAAAAAAAGCCCUUGGCCUUAAUUGGGGGGGGGGUGACGGUUACCGGAAAAAAAAGCCCCGCUAAAUUAGGG
This 486-nucleotide ribosomal RNA is filed under the name uncultured bacterium. RNAcentral describes it as "partial 16S ribosomal RNA". It matches the Rfam family "Bacterial small subunit ribosomal RNA", at positions 29 to 507 of the family's 1533-position model. The record is from RNAcentral.